This 366-nucleotide ribosomal RNA is filed under the name uncultured bacterium. RNAcentral describes it as "bacterial SSU rRNA". It matches the Rfam family "Bacterial small subunit ribosomal RNA", at positions 29 to 425 of the family's 1533-position model. The record is from RNAcentral.
AACGAACGCUGGCGGCAGGCCUAACACAUGCAAGUCGAACGCUCCGCAAGGGGAGUGGCGCACGGGUGAGUAACACGUGGGAACCUACCUUCUGGUACGGAACAACCAAGGGAAACUUUGGCUAAGACCGUAUACGACCUCCGGGUGAAAGAUUGAUCGCCGGAAGAGGGGCCCGCGUCCGAUUAGGUAGUUGGUGAGGUAACGGCUCACCAAGCCUUCGAUCGGUAGCUGGUCUGAGAGGAUGACCAGCCACACUGGGACUGAGACACGGCCCAGACUCCUACGGGAGGCAGCAGUGGGGAAUAUUGGACAAUGGGCGCAAGCCUGAUCCAGCCAUGCCGCGUGUGUGAAGAAGGCCUUCGGUUG